UGCACUCACAGCUCUGGCUGAGGCUGCCUCCUGUCCUUACAGUGCAGGAGCUGUUGGUUGGUUGGAGAGGUGGUGUUCGGCACUGGUGAGAGAAAGAAUUGACUUGGAGUUUCGGGAGCUGUUGGACCCCGACAUUGCUUUCUCAAGGCCAGCAAGAUUAAUGCACCUUCAUCAAUUGGAGGUGGUGGUUGAACAUUCCUUUGAUUCCAGCACUCAGGAGGCAGAAGAAGGCAGAUAUCUGUGAGUUCAAGGCCAGCCUGGUGUCCAGAGCCAGCGCCAAACAAAGAAACCCUGUCUUUGGGGGAAAAAACCCAAACAUAAAUCACAACAGAUGAAACAAAACAAAAAAGAAGAUGCACCUCUGUCCAUCUCCGAGUGGUGGGGUGACAAGCUUCAGCAAGCCUGCUCACUCUUUUUCUUGCACCCUGGGGAACGAAAUCCUAUCUCACAAGGAAAGCAGGUAAUGUAAAAACAGACAUUCACUGUCCCAGUCCUCUUGUACUUCUGAAUCUGGCUCAGAGUGUCGAUUUCACACUCUUGACUCGCUGCCCAGCCGUCUAGCCUUAUAAACAACACAGCCUGGAACAGCA
Peromyscus maniculatus bairdii (prairie deer mouse) is the source of this 590-nucleotide non-coding RNA. The record is from RefSeq and is a predicted model, not a curated record. Lineage: Eukaryota; Metazoa; Chordata; Mammalia; Rodentia; Cricetidae.